RNAcentral lists this long non-coding RNA (6259 nucleotides) under Setaria viridis. Its description in RNAcentral is "long non-coding RNA (SVIR_LNC009112)". The record is from RNAcentral. Lineage: Eukaryota; Viridiplantae; Streptophyta; Magnoliopsida; Poales; Poaceae.
CCUCGACGAGCACUACAAACUAGUCAGAGACACCUAAAAAGUACUCGGGGCUGCUACAUUUGACUAAAAAGUACUCGAGGGCUUGUCUUCCAUACACUUAUGGGCCCACCGGAAGGUUUGGACAGUCCUAGAUAUGGGGUUGUACACCGAGAUGUGUCAGACACAGAGACUACGGUGUAGAAUGAUGUGGUCUAUAUGGAAGACAAGAACUACUCAUAGCAAUUAGAGUAGGACUCACUAGUCGAAUCCGACUAGUAUUCUUGUAAACAACCGACCUGUAACCCUGCCCCCGGCAAUAUAAGGCGAGACAGGGACCCCCUCCAAACAAGUUCAAUCAAUACAACACAACCAACACACAGGACAUAGGGUAUUACGCGAUCUAAGCAGCCUGAACCUAUCUAAAUCAUGUGUUCAAGUUCACCUUCAAGUUCCUAAUCUUGACGAGCCCCACGCAUAAAAACACUACCUCGGGCACCCCCUUGGUAGGUUGCCGGGUAUGAACACCGACACAUAUGGCUAGCAUCGGGGGGCAGGGCUACACAGGCCAAGCUUUACAGGACUCCUGCAUGGAAUUUUUUCCCUCUCAUUAUGUCUUGGAUGGUGUAGAAACUAGGUCUCAUGCAAGACCUGAUUUCCUUCUCUUUCUUUCAUUUACUCCCUUGCCACAUCAUCUUUUAUCUUAUAUGGCAGCUCAUUUAAUUCUAUGGACACUAUCCUAGUCAUUGGGUUGGGACUGCUCUAACUCGCAGUUUUUAUGUGUCUGCACCCUAUCCUCUACUUCAAAUAUAUGAUAGGUGGGUCCUAUGUGAGGGGUACGAUGGCCCCAAUUUUGGUGAGAAAGGUUUUCAACUGUUUUCGAUCUUUAUAGUAUAGAUGUGGCGGAACCGUCGAAAUUAACUUGGCUAAAGCACACUUAAGUUGCUUAACACAUGAUCAUGUACUUUAAUCAAGUCAAUUCGGUAGUCCGUCAGAUUUCAUCUGAUAAACCACUUACCUUAGGAUCGAGAAAGCAAGACUCGCACAAAGGCGAGUGGUUACAGAGAUUACAACAAUCCAUCAUAAUUAAAGAAGUGCAUCAAAUUAUUACAACCUCAAGUUCGAAAUUCAAGCAAAGUUUGUCAAGUUCUCAAACAACCAAAAUAACUGAGAAAGCUAAAUGUCGUUGCAGGAUAUCGUGACGAAGCCGAUCAUGACAUCAAUGAUCCCGAUCCUCGCAAUCCGAGGAGGGAUCCCACUCAACCGUCCAACCAGGAGGAAGUUGGGGAGGCCAAGUGCCACUUGCAGCGAGCUCAGAGGCAUCAACAUCACUUGAAAAGAUGUGCCACAACAAGGCUGAGCGAUUACACUCAACAAGACUUAACCGACCGGUGGUACUACUCCACCAACACCUAGACAUGCAAGCUUUUUGGCUAGAGGGGUUUGUUUUUGCCAAAGCAACUAGUGUAGGUCCUUACCUUCAAUAUUUUAGCCACAAGUUCUACAUUCAAUUACCAAUCUAAGUUAGCAGCUAUACUAAACAAGCAUAGUUUUCCAAGCAAUUAGUAUAGGUAGCAAAUUUUGAUCAUCGUCAUCUUUCAUUCUUACUCAGUGUAGCAUAGCGAUCAAGCAGUCCCAAACUGUGAGAGGCAGAUGAAUCAAUUUGAAUUUCUUAACCAUGCAUGGCAAACCUAAUCCCACGACAUCCGCGCACCGCGAAGGGUCGCUUCAUUUGUCAGUUGUCCUUAUCAAUUCCUAGACCCGUGUCGGACCCACUUCCCUUCGUACAAGGCUCCACAGACCCAGCCUCUGCCGUUCUAUGACCACACUUGUCACCACAUGCGGCCGCAUGGGAACUCUGUUCCAGAGAUAGUGGAACGAUCCGCUCACGUUCCGGUUCAAUCAGGUACUAGGCUUCCCCAUCCCAUACUAGGUAUGAGAUUAGUACUUUACAACACUUGAUCAUGAACACUAUCACAUCUCGACCUUAGUCCAAUUUCAUGUAGACAGACGGGGCAAUCCACCGACCACCAAAAUAGUUCACAGAGCCCGGCCCCAUCCUUCGUCCUUAUAGUUGUAACAAAAGGAAAGCAAACCACUCCUAUAACUCAAGAGUGACAGUCAAUCACUCGACUUUUACUGAGUCCUAUUAAGCAUUGCAACUACUCGGCCUAUCAUACUAGUGUUCAGAUCAAAGGGCACUAAUUCAUGCCUCUAUGGUUUCAAUCAAUUCCUAAAAACAUAAAUGCGCAAUCAAGCAACCAAAUAUAUUGCAAGUAGUUAAAGAUAGGAAUUUAUGCUCCCAGGCUUGCCUUCACAUAGGGAGUUAGCGAACUGGUCCUCGGCUUGCUCCGGUACGGGCUCGGCUCCAAUUGGCUACAGAUCAGCUACGGCUCCUUCUUUUGGCGCCGAGUGAAGCUCGUAUGUCCCGUCAGCGAGGUUCAGCUCUACACGAAAUGCAAAUGCAUCAAGUUUAAUUCCAAGAUUUCUCAUAGGAUGUAAAACACGAGUUAGUACUGAAGUAGAAGUUACAUUACGGCCACAUUCACCUAAACAAGUUUCUACACCUUCUUUAUCUGCAUAAGGUAAGGUGCGUUAUGGUGCAAAACCUAGGGUUGAUUUGAUGGUGAUUAUGUACAUAUAUGCACUUAACUUUAUUAAACUUUAGAUCAACAAAUUAUCCUAAUUCUGAUUGUUCUUUUGUACCUCUUCCAAAAAUUACCUUUAUCGUUAUUCGAGGUUUCUUUCUUUCAUUUAGUUAGGUUCAUCUUCCAAUUUUUAUUUCUAUCUUCAAACAGUAAGCUAUGAAGUUGAAACUUCACCAAUAACUUAGCUUUGGCACAGGUAAGCUACUGCAUAAAUUUGGGAUCCAUGGGAGGUGCAUAAAAAGAAUUAAAAUUACUUUUUUACCCUAAGGUAGCAUACAUUUAAACAUUUUUAAAAUAGAAACCAUAAUGGAACUGGUCAUGGAAUUUUAACAGUCAGUUAUAGGGGUGAUACAGAGCUCUUGGUGAAUUUUUCAUAAUUUUUAGUGAAGGGCAUCUUUUUUGAUACAUUUACCCCAUUUAUUCUUCCCUAAAAAGGACAGUGGUUUUUCAUUCUAUUUCUGAUCAGGUUCUAUAUUUUUCCUACAAACUACUCUAUACCACUAACUUAUUCCAAUUGGUUUCACAUUUUUUAUCAUCUCUGGUUUAAUUAUUGUACAAAAAGACAAGAGCAACCUUAGAUUUCCAUGAUAAAACUAAAAUAGAGAUUUAAACAUCUGAGCUAGGCUCCACAUGAUUUUUAUAAGCUUCCAUUCUCUAGAACAAGCACUUGAGAGUUGGAUUUACCUUUUUAGCAUUUUUUUGUGAUUUGCUAUGAUUUAAUUAGCUUAAACAAGUAUUAAAUCAUAUAACAUUAAUCAUGGCAGAGACAAGUGCUAUGAUUUUAUUAGAAACUACACUUUAUACUGAGUCUAGCAAAAUUUGUUUGACAUUUUUCUGAAUUUUCUAUGAGUUUUGGUGAAUUUCCAAAGCUAAAUACAUUUUUUGCCAAUUAUAAAACAAAAACCGAGGUGAGCUUGCGAUCUAACCUUUGCGUCUAUACUUUAUUUUUGUAGGGGUCCUUGGUUUUUGCACUAAAGCCCCUGAUUCGAUUUUCUCAAUCGCAAUCGGGUCCCUGGGUGGCGCACGGCGGCGGGCGGGCAAAAUCCCGGUGAAGCCCCGGCGGGCUUGGGGCAGAAAGAGACCGAGGAGGAACGGUGGCUCACCUGCGACUGAUUUGAGGUAGUUGCGGGCAUCUGGGAGGUCUACGUGGGAGUGGAACACGAUGGCAGACGGCGUGCCACGGUGUUCCGGCAGUGACAGCACUCUUCGCGGGCAAUGAACGGGCUCUAGAGCUGCGCGAGGGGGAGGUGGAGCUGCUAGUGGUUUCGGUGAGGUGCGGGGCAGUGCGAAAGGGGGAGCUCCACGGAGAGGGUGUGCGGUGGAGCUGAGAGUGAGAAUAGGGGCGAGCGACGAGGUUCGAGGGCGAGCGGGGAAAGGGGCACAGGCAGCGUCGGGCUUCCCUUUAUAGGGCCAGGGUGGAGCGGCGAGCGAGGCGGAGCAGCGGUGCUAGCAGGUGGGACCAGAGGGCAUCACGGCACUGCGGCGGUCAUUAAUGGUGACGGCGCCAUUGGCGGACAGAGGAGGGAGAGGGGUGCGGCAGGCUAGGGUGCUGCAGGCGAGGCGUGCAGGUGCGGGUGAAGCGAGCUUGCACAGCAAUAGCGGCUUUGCCAGGACGCGUCACUGGCGAGGCUAGGAGGAGUUGUCGCGGCCGGGGCGACGGUUGGUGGAGGCGGCGGUGUCGCGGGGCACGAGCUGGCAGAGCUGCAACAUGGCGUGCCCUCGGGCGAGGCAAGGCGAGGUAGCGGGUAGGGCGUGCAGGGUGAGCGCGAAGCGCAACUGGGCGUGGGGCACUAGAAGCAUCGUCUUGUCGCGGCCGGAGACCGGGCGAGACGGCUUCGCCGGUGAAGCCGCGCCACGCGGCGGCAGCACUCUGGAGAGCGCGGCGCACGUGCCCUGGCGCGCUCUGGGCCGAGGGAUUUGCGGGAUCUCUCACUGGGCCAAUUUCCAAGCGCAAGAUCUCCCGAGUCUUGAACCACACAACAUUAACUCCCUUUACAAAAGUUGUAGUCCUUAGAUCCAAAUUCAACGUUCAUAAUUGAACCAAGUUCAAAAUCACAGCAGAUUUGAAGAUAUAAAGCUUUAAAGUUUGGAGGAACGCUGGAUUGCAGACUUAGGCAAAAAUGGCAGUUUGGCCGAUUUUUUGGUCUUGGCUGACUGGAGCCCAAAAUUUGAAAAGUUUCUGCUGCGAAUUUGACCAGAGCUCAAAUGAUAAAGUUGUUGUACAAGCUUAGUUCUUAAACUCUUAUAAAGGGUUUUUCUGAUCUUCUGUUUAACUUUUGAGAGAUAAGCUCAUGCCACGAUGCCUGGUUGAGCUGCUUCCAGACUUAGCCUAGAUUGCUGAUUGAGGCUGGGUUGACCAAACUAGCUGACUUUGACCUGGGUUUUGGAAGCUUUCUGUGCAGAUUUAGACCUUACUCCUUUAGUCAAAGUUGUUAAGGGCUUGAAGCUCUAAAACUUUUGUACAAAGCUCAACUUGAGUUCAUAUUAGAAAUUUCGAAAUAAAGAUCCCCAAGGUUGGGACUUCAACUGUUUUUCUUAAAUUGACACAGAUUCAAAUUUUGAGUUUUUGAAGGUUUUCUGCUCAGAUUCAGACAAAAUACCAAAAAGAAAAGUUGUUGGGAAAGUUGAGUUCUACAACUCUUAGUUGGACAUAUUUUUAAAUUCUUAAUAAAAAAUUUGAGUUAUGCUUUAAACAGCAGUUAAGCUUGUGAGGGCAAAAGUGUCUUUUUACUUGUCUUCUCAACUGCCAAAUGUUCUUCUUUAUUCUCUAAUGGCUUUAUUUAAUAUUAAACAUGAUUUAAUUAGGCUAUAUUGUUACAAUAGACUAACCUAUCUUUCAAAUAUAUGACAGGUGGGUCCGAUGUGAGGGGUACGAUGGCCCCAAUUUUAGUGAGAAAGGUUUUCAAUUGUUUUCGAUCUUUAUAGUAUAGACUAGCAAAAAAUUUUGUGCAUUGCUACGGAUCUUUACACGCUCUCAGGUUAUUAUUCUCUUGUUUCAUGUAUGCUCGCUUAGCUACUAUAUUGAUGUUGUCACCUCCAUGCAACCACUCAUGCUUUAGCUAAAGCCUACACAAAUAGCAGUCUGUAUGAUGGUGAAGAGCCGCAUGAGAAGGUGGGGUUCCCACUACUAGAAUUUAAUGAUUUUCCUAGAGUUUCUAUUUUCCUAGGAAGAUUUAGAGCACCCAAGAGAGAUAUUAAAAUAAAAGACCUCAUGAUGUUUGAAGUUUAGAUAACUUGAUAUUGAAUACAAAGAUAACUAAAUAAAACUAUAAUGUGAAAAUGUUUAAUCACCGAGCAUUGCACAACGAAGGUUGUCAUAACUGGUAAGUAACUCUCGGGCAAUAUACAGAGAUAUAGAAUGACAUUCACGUGUACCAGCCUAAUUGCCUAAUGCAGCCCAAACCGGCCCACCACACCCAACCGGCCAACUUCUCGAAUUCCACAGCCUUGGUAUCCCUCACCUCUUUCUUUCAAUCUCCCUCGCGGCUCGCGCCAUCACGAGCUCCUCCUGUUUGUUCCCGUCACCGUUCCCCUCCGUCCCCCCACUACAACUGCGUGAGGAGGCCGUAGUCUUGGUGAGGAGCUCAUCCAGCACCACGGUAUCCUUUUGCCCCAUCUCCUUCCAACACCUCUCC